GACGAACGCUGGCGGCGUGCUUAACACAUGCAAGUCGAACGGAAAGGCCCUGCUUUUGUGGGGUGCUCGAGUGGCGAACGGGUGAGUAACACGUGAGUAACCUGCCCUUGACUUUGGGAUAACUUCAGGAAACGGGGGCGAAUACCGGAUAGGAGCUCCUGCUGCAUGGUGGGGGUUGGAAAGUUUCGGCGGGUGGGGAUGGACUCGCGGCUUAUCAGCUGGUUGGUGGGGUAGUGGCUUACCAAGGCUUUGACGGGUAGCCGGCCUGAGAGGGUGACCGGACACAUUGGGACUGAGAUACGGACCAGACUCCUACGGGAGGCAGCAGUGGGGAAUAUUGCACAAUGGGCGGAAGCCUGUUGCAGCAACGCCGCGUGCGGGAUGACGGCCUUCGGGUUGUAAACCGCUUUCGCCUGUGACGAAGCGUGAGUGACGGUAAUGGGUAAAGAAGCACCGGCUAACUACGUG
This 468-nucleotide ribosomal RNA is filed under the name uncultured bacterium. Its description in RNAcentral is "partial 16S ribosomal RNA". It matches the Rfam family "Bacterial small subunit ribosomal RNA", at positions 28 to 507 of the family's 1533-position model. The record is from RNAcentral.